AUUUACAUUACUAACACUAGCUUAAUGGUAACUAAGUUAUUUUUCUAAAUUCUUUGUUAUAUCCAAAAUAAUUGAAAGAAACCCAGAGCAUCUCAAAAUAAAUAUGGUAAUGAAAGGGUUAAUUUGUAUGUUCAGCUAAGGUAUUUCACAAAAAAGCAUUCAUUUCUCUCAUUUCUGCUGUUAACCAAGAAGUUUAAGUCCAUCUACAACAUUUCAAACAGAUAAUAGUAACAAUAAUGACUUUUUUUUUUGUUGUAAGUUGUGAUGUUCAUGCUUUUAUUAAGGUAUUGAGGACAUUACUGAAGCAUUUUCAAACUAGAAUUGAAAUUGUCUUAGAUUUAAUUUCACCAAAGUUUAUUGUUUAGAAAAUAAUGCUCUACAAUAAUAAUAAUAAUAAUAAUAAUAAUAAUAAUUGUAUUGAUAACAAUGAUUUUAUAUUGACCGGUAACAAAAUUUUUAUAUUAACAUUCUUGUGAUUAUAAUAAGUUCUAUCAACACUGCCUGGAUUCAAACUGAAAACUUGUCUUACUUCAGUAUGACACCUCAGCUUUAUAUGGAAAGUUAUGUUCAUCAUUUUCAAUGUCAUAACGAUUAAAAAGAAAAUAGCUUCUUGAAGGAAUGUUUGUAAUAGGUUAAACUAUAGACAAUAAUGCUGGGAAACUUUGUGGCUGCAGUAGAUAUCUACCUAGUGGAGAUAUUCUUUUUGAGAUGAGUUUUGCAUAGAAUGGAUUAUUUGUACACCAGUCACUAAUUUCAGUUUUGAAAUAAAAAGAAUUUAUGAAAUUGUUAAGUCUAUACUUUACAACAUUGUAAUGUUCCUAUAUGAUAUUUUUGUAUGAAAAGAUUUGGUUAUAAUAAACUUAUUUUAAUUCA
Octopus sinensis (East Asian common octopus) is the source of this 873-nucleotide long non-coding RNA. RefSeq lists it as uncharacterized. The record is from RefSeq and is a predicted model, not a curated record. The transcript is spliced from 2 exons. NCBI's taxonomy places the organism in Eukaryota, Metazoa, Mollusca, Cephalopoda, Octopoda, Octopodidae.